RNAcentral lists this unclassified non-coding RNA (170 nucleotides) under uncultured Metapochonia. Its description in RNAcentral is "sequence contains ITS1". The record is from RNAcentral. Lineage: Eukaryota; Fungi; Ascomycota; Sordariomycetes; Hypocreales; Clavicipitaceae.
CCGAGUUUUCUACUCCCAAACCCCUGUGAACUUAUACCUUUACUGUUGCUUCGGCGGGUUAACGCCCCGGAACGGCCCCCCAAGGCCUCCCGGAACCAGGCGCCCGCCGGGGGACCCAAACCCUUGAAUACAUUAAAGAAUUUCUUCUGAGUAACCGAUUAAAUAAAUCA